This 1337-nucleotide ribosomal RNA is filed under the name metagenome. RNAcentral describes it as "bacterial LSU rRNA". It matches the Rfam family "Bacterial large subunit ribosomal RNA", at positions 1564 to 2910 of the family's 2925-position model. The record is from RNAcentral.
UGAGUGCGAGCGGCUACGGCCGCGAAGUGGGUGAUGUCAAGCUUCCAAGAAAAGCCCUAUACCCGUUAAGGCAUGAUGGCCUGUACCCGAAACCGACACAGGUGGGGUGGUAGAGAAUACCGAGGGGCGCGAGGUAACUCUCUCUAAGGAACUCGGCAAAAUGGCCCCGUAACUUCGGGAGAAGGGGUGCCACCGCAAGGUGGUCGCAGUGAAGAGGCCCAGGCGACUGUUUACCAAAAACACAGGUCUCCGCUAAGUCGUAAGACGAUGUAUGGGGGCUGACGCCUGCCCAGUGCCGGAAGGUUAAGGAAGCUGGUCAGCGCGAGCGAAGCUGGCGACUGAAGCCCCGGUGAACGGCGGCCGUAACCAUAACGGUCCUAAGGUAGCGAAAUUCCUUGUCGGGUAAGUUCCGACCCGCACGAAAGGCGUAACGAUCUGGGCGCUGUCUCGGAGAGAGGCUCGGCGAAAUAGAAUUGUCUGUGAAGAUGCGGACUACGUGCACCCGGACAGAAAGACCCUAUGAAGCUUUACCGUAGCUUGGUAUUGUGCCCGGGCUCUGAAUGCGCAGGAUAGGUGGGAGGCUUUGAUCCAUGGCUUGCGGGUCAUGGUGAGCCAACGGUGAGAUACCACUCUUUCAGAGCUAGGGUUCUAACGGUCACCCGUCAUCCGGGGACCGGACAGUAUCAGGUGGGCAGUUUGACUGGGGCGGUCGCCUCCUAAAAGGUAACGGAGGCGCGCAAAGGUUUGCUCAGGCUGGUUGGAAAUCAGCCGACGAGUGCAAAAGCAGAAGCAAGCUUGACUGUGAGACCUACAAGUCGAACAGGGACGAAAGUCGGCUUUAGUGAUCCGACGGUUCUGAGUGGAAGGGCCGUCGCUCAACGGAUAAAAGUUACUCUAGGAUAACAGGCUGAUCUCCCCCAAGAGUUCACAUCGACGGGGAGGUUUGGCACCUCGAUGUCGGCUCAUCGCAACCUGGGGCUGAAGUCGGUCCCAAGGGUUGGGCUGUUCGCCCAUUAAAGCGGUACGCGAGCUGGGUUCAGAACGUCGUGAGACAGUUCGGUCCAUAUCCGGUGCACGCGCAGGAACAUUGAGAGGAUUUCUCCCUAGUACGAGAGGACCGGGAGGAACGCACCUCUGGUGUGCCAGUUAUCGUGCCAACGGUAAACGCUGGGUAGCCAUGUGCGGAGUGGAUAACCGCUGAAAGCAUCUAAGUGGGAAGCCCACCUCAAGAUGAGUGUUCCCAUGGCAUAAGCCAGUAAGGUCACGGGAAGAACACCCGUUGAUAGGCUCUACGUGGAAGCCGGGUAACCGGUGAAGCGGAGGAGUACUAAUAGACC